RNAcentral lists this ribosomal RNA (397 nucleotides) under uncultured bacterium. RNAcentral's name for it is "partial 16S ribosomal RNA". It matches the Rfam family "Bacterial small subunit ribosomal RNA", at positions 523 to 918 of the family's 1533-position model. The record is from RNAcentral.
AUACGUAGGGGGCGAGCGUUGUCCGGAAUGACUGGGCGUAAAGGGCGUGUAGGCGGCGGUGUAAGUCUGGAGUGAAAGUCCCGCAUUCAAUGUGGGAAUUGCUUUGGAUACUGCAGUGCUAGAGUGCGGAAGAGGUAAGUGGAAUUCCCAGUGUAGCGGUGAAAUGCGUAGAGAUUGGGAGGAACACCAGUGGCGAAGGCGACUUACUGGGCCGUAACUGACGCUGAGGCGCGAAAGCGUGGGGAGCGAACAGGAUUAGAUACCCUGGUAGUCCACACUGUAAACGAUGAAUGCUAGGUGUAAGAGGUAUCGACCCCUUUUGUGCCGGAGUCAACACAAUAAGCAUUCCGCCUGGGGAGUACGGCCGCAAGGUUGAAACUUAAAGGAAUUGACGGGG